This is a long non-coding RNA of Cyprinus carpio carpio, 2041 nucleotides long. Lineage: Eukaryota; Metazoa; Chordata; Actinopteri; Cypriniformes; Cyprinidae. The record is from Ensembl.
UAUUGCUUAUGUUACUUUGUGUUUGCGGGUUAUGUGUAUGAGGAUUACCUUGUGCAAUGUUUUCUGCUUUUUGCCUUGAUGUGGAUUACUGUUUUUGGGACCACAAUAAAGCUUCUAUUGGAUUUUCAAUAUUGCCCAGAUUUUCAAUCUGCUGCCUGAGAGACAAGUCCAUGUUCAAGGUUUGGCAAUACCUUGUAGUGGAAGUGUGGAAAGGCUGGGUUGCAACGAUGCAGACUUUAAAAUCACUUUUAACCUCUGUCUGGAUGAUCUCUUAUUACAUUGGGAGAUGGAGCUGGUAAAGUCAUUGGAAAUCUGGAACUUCUCCGGGUACUUGCAGCUCUGCCAAGAGGGGAAGGUAAUGGAUCAUAACCAGAACCUACCUGUAAGGACUCAAGAGCCCACUUCAGUUCAAGUGUCCUCAGAGUUCACUCAAGAGCCCGCUCCAUAGCCUGCUUCAGUUUGUGAGUUCACUCCAGAGCCCACUCCAGUCUGUGGGAUCGUGAAGCGCCCAUUUUUUUCAAACCAGCUGUCCGACCUACCAAUACUACAUGACAUUCAAAGCUUCAGACAUCAUCAGUCACAUGGUAUUGUCAUUUCAAUACAAGCAUCUGCACAAUGUGUGAUACAGUAGAGGUUGGAAAACUGUGUCAGACCAUCGGAGCCCUUUUAUCAAUCGUCCCAUCACUACUUGUCUGGGGUAUUUUAAGAAUUGGUGGCAAACGCAGAAAGUUCAAGGCCAAUUGGGAACAUGGAGAAGUCAGUUCCACAGCUUUUCUGAGAAUUUUAUUUUUAUUUCCAUUUUAUUUCUCUGUUCUAAUCCAUGAAGCAUGCGACACCUAAGAAUUGCACCUGCGCCAAGAUUGCUCACCGUUUAUAUUCAGAUUGAUACACAUAAGCAAACAAAAAUGCUGCUACUCCUCUGUCUGCCCCAGAUGACACUUCACCAGAACUAGGCGUAGGUGCCACAGCCAAGGUGAGUUAACUUAAUAUUCAAAGUCACGUGCCUCAACCACAGUGUCCGGUGGCUGUAAACAAUGAGAGAUCAUGGGGCAGGUGAUGCUUAGGUUUCACAGGAUGUGCGCUUCAUUACGGAUUAAAAGAGAGGAAUAAAAUAUAAGGUAAGGUGGCAAAUAGGUAAAUAAGUGUUGAAUUGCACUUUCUAUUUGCUCACAUACAUCCAUUUAAGUGUAAACAGUGAAAGAUGUUGAAGCAGAUAUGACACUUAGGUGCCAUGUGCUCCAUUAUGGAUUAGAAGAGAGAGAAUAAAAUAUAAAAUGGAAAUAAAAAUAACACUACAUUUUGCUACAAUUACCACACGGUAUUAUGAUGAAAAUGCAAUCCUAGUGUCAUGUAAGACUAAAUGCAUUUAGGAAAAAUAGCAUUUAAAUGAUAAUUUUGCUACAGUUUUUGCUUGGACAUGUUAAACAUAUCUAAUCAAUUUGGGUAUACAUUUUAAUUUUAAUUUUGCAAUUUAUAAAGCGUUAUAUGUAUUUCAUUGAUAUAUUAAAACUAGUAUAGAAAAUGGCAAAUGCAAAAUACAUUUAAUAUUCAUUUUCAUUUUGGACCAAAUGUUGCAAAAUGUUUUUUUUUUUUUUCAAUCCUGUGGCAAAUCCCCCUGAGGAAGGACCUUAUUUGUCAGGAGCAGGGCACAAUAUGGCACCUGCCCCCAUACCUCUGGAACAUCCACGCUUGGUCCCUUUAUGUGACAAAGAAUUUACAGGGCUAUCAACAGCUGUGAUAGACACAAUCACUCAGGUGAGAGCACCCUCUGCCAGGUGGUUAAAUGCCCUGAAGUGGGACUUGUGCAGUGCUCGGUGCUAAUUCUGUGGGGAAGACAUGGUUUUGAAUCAGUGAGUACGUUUACAUAGAUACUUUUUGCUUCCAUUGGAAUUAAUUCAUUCUGAUUGACGAAUCUGAACGUAGUGUUUACAUGAACACUAAAUAAAGUGAUCGGGUUGAUAUGCGUGUUUAUAUGUCACAAGCUUCUGAUCGGAUUUAUUCUUUUGACGUGCAAACUGCAUGAAUAUACAGAGUUUCCCAC